CGUCGUCAGGACGAACGCUGGCGGCACGCUUAACACAUGCAAGUCGAACGGAGUUAAAGAAGCUUGCUUUUUAACUUAGUGGCGGACGGGUGAGUAACACGUGAGCAACCUGCCUUACAGAGAGGAAUAAUGAUUGGAAACGAUCACUAAUACCUCAUAACAUAUUUUUUACUGCAUGGUAGAGAUAUCAAAGAUUUAUCGCUGUAAGAUGGGCUCGCGUCCGAUUAGAUAGUUGGUGAGGUAACGGCUCACCAAGUCGACGAUCGGUAGCCGUACUGAGAGGUAGAACGGCCACAUUGGGACUGAGACACGGCCCAGACUCCUACGGGAGGCAGCAGUGGGGAAUAUUGCACAAUGGAGGGAACUUCCUGAUGCAGCGAUGCCGCGUGAGGGAAGAAGGUUUUCGGAUUGUAAACCUCUGUCUUAAGGGACGAUAAUGACGGUACCUUAGGAGGAAGCUCCGGCUAACUACGUGCCAGCCGCGGC
RNAcentral lists this ribosomal RNA (486 nucleotides) under uncultured bacterium. RNAcentral's name for it is "bacterial SSU rRNA". It matches the Rfam family "Bacterial small subunit ribosomal RNA", at positions 26 to 518 of the family's 1533-position model. The record is from RNAcentral.